Long non-coding RNA from Elgaria multicarinata webbii, 810 nucleotides. RefSeq lists it as uncharacterized. The transcript is spliced from 3 exons. NCBI's taxonomy places the organism in Eukaryota, Metazoa, Chordata, Lepidosauria, Squamata, Anguidae. The record is from RefSeq and is a predicted model, not a curated record.
AUUUUAUCUGCUACCGAGCUUUGGAGCGGCCCCGGUGCCAUGGAGCAACACAAGGCUGAAAGCUAGAAGCGUCUGGAUGAAGCUGCUCCCUGGCGAAUGAGCCAACAACACUUAUGGAAGGCCCGGUUCAUUUUGAAGAACACCUGGAAUAGAAGCUCCCUCGGCACCAGAUAUGGACGCAGGAUGCUGCCUCGGCUGGGUUGGCUGAAAACUACAUGGACAUUUUACUCUGCUCACCGCCUCGUGGAGGGAUUGAAGAAAAUGUUUAUUUCAAAGGCAUGAGCCCACCUUAUCCAAUGCAGGGAUGGAUAGGACAUAUGUCGUGAGCAAACACUCCAUUUCCAAUUUAAACACUCCAUCUGCACUAUUUAAGGAAGUGCACUGUGGAUGGGACUGGGGCUCUACACACUGUAAGGAGUGAGCCAUUCAGACGAUGUGUUCAAGCCCAGUUCCAACGUGUCGGACUGAACAGUUCAUGUCAUCUCUGAGCUCUCACGCUACAUUCUGUCUCUCUAGUCUCUCCGUUGCAAGCCGGCCACAUUGGGGUCUGCUCCGAAUGACCUGGAAUGGGGAGAUGCUCUCCCACAGGUUUGUCGGUGUUUGUGCAGCCCUUUGGUCCAGGGAUUGUGUUCUCUGGGGAGAUGUGGGGACAGAGCUGGCAGUGGUUCCCCUGGUGUUGCCUGUUUGGAGUGGUCCUAUAGGGCUGAGUCUCUGUCAGAGGGGCAGGAACAGAUAUGGCGGUAUUGCCGGGCUUAGCAGUAGUGAUGGAUCAUUUGGUGUGUUGAGGCUGCUAGGUUGAGGCGUGUCAUG